RNAcentral lists this ribosomal RNA (253 nucleotides) under uncultured bacterium. RNAcentral describes it as "partial 16S ribosomal RNA". It matches the Rfam family "Bacterial small subunit ribosomal RNA", at positions 524 to 776 of the family's 1533-position model. The record is from RNAcentral.
UACGUAGGUGACAAGCGUUGUCCGGAUUUACUGGGCGUAAAGAGCGCGCAGGCGGUCGAUCAAGUCGAGUGUGAAAGCCCCCGGCUCAACUGGGGAGGGUCAUUCGAUACUGAUCGACUCGAAGGCAGGAGAGGGUAGUGGAAUUCCCGGUGUAGUGGUGAAAUGCGUAGAUAUCGGGAGGAACAUCAGUGGCGAAGGCGGCCUUCUGGUCCAGUACUGACACUCAAGUGCGAAAGCGUGGGGAGCAAACAGG